AAUUAUAUAUUCAACUAUGAUAUUAAAUUGCAAAUUUAAAGGUGUUUUAAAACUAUAAUUU
This 61-nucleotide transfer RNA is filed under the name Dendroctonus rufipennis (spruce beetle). RNAcentral's name for it is "tRNA-Cys". Lineage: Eukaryota; Metazoa; Arthropoda; Insecta; Coleoptera; Curculionidae. The record is from RNAcentral.